Molecule: ribosomal RNA, 164 nt
Filed under: Volutaria maroccana
Lineage: Eukaryota; Viridiplantae; Streptophyta; Magnoliopsida; Asterales; Asteraceae
Description: 5.8S ribosomal RNA
Rfam family: 5.8S ribosomal RNA
About the family: 5.8S ribosomal RNA (5.8S rRNA) is a component of the large subunit of the eukaryotic ribosome. It is transcribed by RNA polymerase I as part of the 45S precursor that also contains 18S and 28S rRNA.
Source: RNAcentral
AACGACUCUCGGCAACGGAUAUCUCGGCUCACGCAUCGAUGAAGAACGUAGCAAAAUGCGAUACUUGGUGUGAAUUGCAGAAUCCCGUGAACCAUCGAGUUUUUGAACGCAAGUUGCGCCCGAAGCCAUUUGGCCGAGGGCACGUCUGCCUGGGCGUCACGCAU